RNAcentral lists this ribosomal RNA (460 nucleotides) under uncultured bacterium. RNAcentral's name for it is "partial 16S ribosomal RNA". It matches the Rfam family "Bacterial small subunit ribosomal RNA", at positions 338 to 795 of the family's 1533-position model. The record is from RNAcentral.
CCUACGGGAGGCAGCAGUGAGGAAUAUUGGUCAAUGGGCUUACGCCUGAACCAGCCAAGUCGCGUGAGGGAAGACUGCCCUAUGGGUUGUAAACCUCUUUUGUCAGGGAGCAACGCCGGCUACGUGUAGCCGGACUGAGAGUACCUGAAGAAAAAGCAUCGGCUAACUCCGUGCCAGCAGCCGCGGUAAUACGGAGGAUGCGAGCGUUAUCCGGAGUUAUUGGGUUUAAAGGGUGCGUAGGCGGAAUGCCAAGUCAGCGGUAAAAUCGCGGGGCUCAAACGCGCUACGCCGUUGAUACUGGCGUUCUUGAGUGGGCGAGAAGUAUGCGGAAUGCGUGGUGUAGCGGUGAAAUGCAUAGAUAUCAUGCAGAACUCCGAUUGCGAAGGCAGCAUACCGGCGCCCAACUGACGCUGAAGCACGAAAGCGUGGGUAUCGAACAGGAUUAGAUACCCGAGUAGUC